This 83-nucleotide transfer RNA is filed under the name Friedmanniomyces endolithicus. RNAcentral's name for it is "tRNA-Gln". It matches the Rfam family "tRNA". Rfam says of the family: Transfer RNA (tRNA) molecules are approximately 80 nucleotides in length. Their secondary structure includes four short double-helical elements and three loops (D, anti-codon, and T loops). The record is from RNAcentral. Lineage: Eukaryota; Fungi; Ascomycota; Dothideomycetes; Mycosphaerellales; Teratosphaeriaceae.
GGUUGUAUAGUGUAGUGGAUAGCACGCCAGAUUCUGAUACGAUCUGAUUUCUGGCGACCCCGGUUCGAUCCCGGGUACGACCU